UGGGGAAUUUUGGACAAUGGGCGAAAGCCUGAUCCAGCAAUGCCGCGUGUGUGAAGAAGGCCUUCGGGUUGUAAAGCACUUUUGUCCGGAAAGAAAUCCUUGGUUCUAAUACAGUCGGGGGAUGACGGUACCGGAAGAAUAAGCACCGGCUAACUACGUGCCAGCAGCCGCGGUAAUACGUAGGGUGCAAGCGUUAAUCGGAAUUACUGGGCGUAAAGCGUGCGCAGGCGGUUUGCUAAGACCGAUGUGAAAUCCCCGGGCUCAACCUGGGAACUGCAUUGGUGACUGGCAGGCUAGAGUAUGGCAGAGGGGGGUAGAAUUCCACGUGUAGCAGUGAAAUGCGUAGAGAUGUGGAGGAAUACCGAUGGCGAAGGCAGCCCCCUGGGCCAAAUACUGACGCUCAUGCACGAAAGCGUGGGGAGCAAACAGGAUUAGAUACCCCUGGUAGUCCACGCCCCUAAAACGAUGUCAACUAGUUGUUGGGGGAUUCAUUUCCUUAGUAACGUAGCUAACGCGUGAAGUUGACCGCCUGGGGGAGUACGGUCGCAAGAUUAAAACUCAAAUGAAUUGACGGGGUCAUAGCUGUUUCCU
This 591-nucleotide ribosomal RNA is filed under the name uncultured bacterium. RNAcentral describes it as "partial 16S ribosomal RNA". It matches the Rfam family "Bacterial small subunit ribosomal RNA", at positions 355 to 1375 of the family's 1533-position model. The record is from RNAcentral.